Molecule: ribosomal RNA, 743 nt
Filed under: Triatoma rubrovaria
Lineage: Eukaryota; Metazoa; Arthropoda; Insecta; Hemiptera; Reduviidae
Description: SSU rRNA
Rfam family: Eukaryotic small subunit ribosomal RNA
Source: RNAcentral
GGGACUCUAUUGAGGCCCCGUAAUCGGAAUGAGUACACUUUAAAUCCUUUAACAAGGAUCCAUUGGAGGGCAAGUCUGGUGCCAGCAGCCGCGGUAAUUCCAGCUCCAAUAGCGUAUAUUAAAGUUGUUGCGGUUAAAAAGCUCGUAGUUGGUUCUGCGUGCCGCGCUGUCGGUUCGCCGCCUGUCGGUGUAACUGGCAUGUCGCGGCAUGUCCUGUCGGUGGUGAACGGAGUCCACGACGCUACAUGGGCUUUAUAGUCGAUGUUAGCAUCGUGUGUACUUCCGUUGGCCGAUCUCUCCUACUUCGGUGCUCUUAAACGAGUGUCGAGGUAGGCCGACACGUUCACUUUGAACAAAUUAGAGUGCUUAAAGCAGGCUGAAAUAUCUGCCUGAAUAGUGGUGCAUGGAAUGAUAAAACAGGACCUCGGUUCUAUUUUGUUGGUUUUAGGAAUAUGAGGUAAUGAUCAAUGUGGACUGGCGGGGGCAUUCGUAUUGCGACGUUAGAGGUGAAAUUCUUGGAUCGUCGCAAGACGCACUAGAGCGAAAGCAUUUGCCAAGUAUGUCUUAAUUGAUCAAGAACGAAAGUUAGAGGUUCGAAGGCGAUCAGAUACCGCCCUAGUUCUAACCAUAAACGAUGCCAGCCAGCGAUCCGCCGAUGUUCCUUUAAUGACUCGGCGGGGAGCUUCCACCCGGGAAACCAAAGCUUUUGGGUUCCGGGGGAAGUAUGGUUGCAAAGCUGAAAC